Long non-coding RNA from Zingiber officinale, 507 nucleotides. RefSeq lists it as uncharacterized. The transcript has 3 exons. The record is from RefSeq and is a predicted model, not a curated record. Lineage: Eukaryota; Viridiplantae; Streptophyta; Magnoliopsida; Zingiberales; Zingiberaceae.
AAGAUGAAGAGUUGUUUAGGUUCAUGAAAGCAGCCUAAAUUCAGAAAUUGCAUGCUCUAAAAUAAAACUGCUCAUACACAUUGGAUAGCAUGGAAUUAAUUAAGUCUGCAUACUAAGCUUGACACUAUAAAAACAAUCUGCACUUAAUAAAAAAACUGUGUAAAACCUAUUCAAAGCUAUACUUUUACAUAGCAAUUGGGAUCUUUAAGCAUGCUACAGCAGAAACAAACUAAGGAACGAGUAAUUUGGAUUCCUUAAACAUGCUUCAACAGAAAUAAGUCAAGGAAACAAGAAAUCUGGAUUCCUUAAACAUGCUUCAACAGAAAUAAGGCAGAGGGAACCAUUCUUGGGAAUUACUCUUAAUCUUCCAGUCAUCAAUUCCUAAAGCAUGCUACUGCCACAUUAAAAAGAAAUAAGCGAAUCUCAUAUAGAACUCUCUAAGCAUGCUAUAGAAUGCUACGGCAGAAAUAACAGGAAGAAAACAAAUCUCGGAAGUUUCCCUUAAUC